GGGGGCGCACCGGUUUCGACGGGGUCGUGGUAGGAAAGAGCUGCGUGUCGAGGAUGUGCGUCACCUCGCUAAACAUCGUGCAAAAAAAAGUAGUUGCCAACAACAACGACUUCUUCGCUGCGCGGAUGGCUGCAUAGCCAUUCCAGGCCUGCGGGCCUCAGUCGUCCGGAUGGAAUGUUGCCAGGGGCUCCAUCUGGGCGUGUCUUGACCUGGCUGGUCCUGAGGGGGAAGGCGACGCGCCUCCCGGGGGACGAGAAAACAACCCAGUAGUCGUCGUCGAACCCGAUCGUCACCCUGCUCCGGGGGUGGCCGGGGGAGCUAAGCCGGAGCUACACACGUAGAUGCUUAGACCGAGCGGCUUCGGACGUGGGUUCGACUCCCACCGCCUCCACUC
Molecule: transfer-messenger RNA, 394 nt
Filed under: Deltaproteobacteria bacterium
Lineage: Bacteria; Pseudomonadati; Myxococcota; Myxococcia
Also listed under: 1 other name
Rfam family: transfer-messenger RNA
About the family: Bacterial tmRNA, also known as 10Sa RNA or SsrA, is named for its dual tRNA and mRNA-like properties. Its role is to liberate the mRNA from a stalled ribosome.
Source: RNAcentral